AUUAUCCUUGGUAAACUCCAAUUAGCUAUAAUAGUCAAAUGGUAACAUCAAUGAUGUUUAUAUGCAAUUAUAAGCCUAACCAUGGUUAAUUAUUUAUUUUUAAAUAAAAUUAUUAAAAAAUUUAAAAAAUUUCCUUUCCCCCACUCACCCAGCCACCACCUGACCCCCUCUUCGGCCGGCGACACCAAGCUCCGACGAUCCCCUACCCCUCAACUCCCUCCCUUCCGACGACCCCCAACCCUCCCUCACUCUCGAUUCCCACCUUCCCUCUCCCACUCCCACUCCCCCACCCCGAUUCCCAUCCCUUCUCACUCGAUCCCUAACGAAAAUUCGACCACUCCGGCCUCCCUUUCCCCGAAAACGCUCGCUUCUCCUGUUCCCUACCACCUUGAAUGGUUGAAUGCCACAAAUCUGCCCAUUUCACGCACAAAAUUCCUACAAAACAACCUCUUUUCUUGUGAAAUUAUUUGAACAACCUUAAUAUAAUGUAGUGAAAUUGAGAUGGUCUUGGGGUUCAAAGGCAAAAAGAACUGAUUCCUAGGAAAAUUAGGAAGGAGGAGAUGAAGGUAAAGGUUGAAAACGACGUCGACGAAAUUGAAGGUGAAGGUGUAGGCGAGGGUGAAGGUUAAAAUUGCAGAGCUGAGUUUUGGAGGUUCAAAUUCGGGAAAUUUCUAGGGAUUGUUUGGGGAAGGGGAUUCGAGGCUGAAUUGAGGCCGACGGUGGGCGGUGGUGGCUGCUGUCGGAUUGGGGGAGUGGGAGGUCGGUGCGCCGGUGACAGAGAGGUUGAGCAUCGGUGUCAGUGGGGCCGAUAGUGGUGGGCGGUUGGAGGGGUAAAAGGUGGGUUUUUUAAAAAAAAAUUUUGUAUAAUUUUUUUUUAAAAGUAAUAAAUCUAUAGUAACAUAUAAAGUGAAAGGGGGUUUUGGGUGAUAAAUUUGUAUUUUCCCAAAAUGCCCUUCUCUAUUUCCUAAUUUACUUUUUUUUUUAUUUAGAUUUUUUUAAAAAAAUUGACCAGUAAAACCACGUUUUAGUUGGUUACUUGAAAAAAAAAUGGAUUUUUUUUAACUUAUCCACAUUUUACUUCAUUGACUGUUGUCAAAAACAAAACAAAAUUGUUGCGAUAAUAAAGUCCUACGUAGUCUAUUGCUCCCAGUACAUCUUCAUACAGUUUGAAUGAAAUUAUACUCCACUUACAAAAAAAGUUAAGCCUAUUGCUCAAUCUUUUAUGGUUAAAACUCAACGAUUAUAUUUUUGAGGUUUACCUACAAUAUGUCUACACCAUAUGCACCUUUUAUAUAUUUACAUCCAUAUUCUCGAAAGUGGAAUGUGAAAGCCCGGCUUAUCAGAUCGUUUGACAUUCAAAAUACGAAACAUGGUCGAAAAAUAUGGAAAAUGAUUUUAAUUGACGCUACGGGAGAGCCAAUUCAAUGUGUCAUAUUCUCAAAUGAUGUCGAUCAGUUUGUUGGAAAAUUACAGGAGGGAUUGGUAUAUUUGUUUGAAGGUGCACAUGUAAUUGAUGCCGAUGAUUGGUUAAGGUUAAUACCAAAUCAAUACCAAUUGAAUAUAACUUGAGAAACAAAGGUGUCAGUUAUUGAUACAAAUGAUGACGAAUUCCCAAAAAGUUUCUACAAUUUAGUUUCCCUACAUGGUGUAAAUUCCUUAAAAAAUUUCGCAAAAAAUUUGAUAGAUGUCAUGGGAAUUAUUAUUUAUUCAACUGGAACUAUCGCGAUUGACAAUGGAGAAAGUAUUAAACAAGACAUUGUUAUACUCGACCAAAGUUGCUUUGCUAUGAGAUUGACCAUAUGGAAUUAUUUUGUGAAUGAAAUCGGCAAACACCUUUUGGAAAACAUUCACCAAAAUAACAUCUUGCUAGGGUGUGGGCUACAAAUUAAAUACUUUAAUGGGUCAUUAUUUUUAACAACAGGAAAAUACACAAGGUUGUAUAUAAACCACAAUGAUCCUACUUCUUCUAGCUUGAUGCAGUGGUUUCACAAUGAUCAUUUUGCACAAUUAAAAGUCAAGUGGAUACAAACAUGUGACCUUUCACUGGAUAAGACACUUACAACAUCAAAUGCAUGACGUACAACAAUAUCUCAAUUUCCAUCAAUGCCAAAAGUAAUUUCAUCUCAAUUUUACCUACAUUUUUAUUAUGAUUUUUACCUUACAUUACUAUAUCACUUAGCUAUUUUUAAAUGUCUAUUAAAUAUUUUUUUUAAACGUGUCAUUUAUUUCAGGGGAAAAUUUACAGAAUAAUUGGAAUGUUGAUAGAUAUAAAUUAAAAAAAAUUUCAAUUGGUAUGAUGUGUGCUCUAUUUGCAACAAUAAGGUGUACUACAAUGUUGGUCAAGUAAUAUGUUAUAAGUGUCACAAAAAUGAUGUUCAAAUUAUUCAAGGGUGAGUUAUUUAUUUAAUUUUUAUUUAAAGUUUUUGCAACAUUAUAUUUUUUUAGUCGUAGGUUUCUUAUUCAUUUAUAUUUUGUUUGGGUUGCUCUUACAAUUACUAUCAGAGACUCAAGUGGGUCAAUGCGUCUAAUAUUGUUCAACAAACAAAUUGAGUAUCUUCUUCGUUCUACAAUAUCUGAAGUUAAGGAAUGGAUUGAAUCGGUAUACACUAAUACAUUUACAUGAAUAUUUACAAUAUUUAUUAUUGAUUUCAACUAUUUUAAUUUAUAUAUUUAAUUUAAUUCAUUUUUUAACUAUUGUCCCACUAUAUCAUUAUAGGUAAAUGAGGGAUCAAAACUUAAGGAGAAGUGUCAAUUGAGUUUGUACAAUGCAUAUGUUUUCACAAUAAUUUCUCCAAGUACGCAUUCUCCUCUACUACCCUACAAAGUCAAUUUUGUGACAUCCGUCAGUUGGAAAGAAGAAUGUGCACAUUUACUCCAAAGGAUACAUAAUGAUAUCAACAACUCAGUGGAAAAAUCAUAAGAUGGGCGAAAGUCUAUCUUCAACAAUUUCUUAGGAACUUUUUAUGUGUAUAUGUGUUUGCUUACUUAGAUUGUACAUAUUUUAGAAAAUCUCCACACUUUUUCUAUUAGUACUCUUUUAAGUACUUUAGUUGAUGAGUUCCUUUAUGUAAAUAUUAUAUUCUAAAGGUUUUAACAGAUAUAUGUGUAUUGUAUAGAUUUUAUUAGAUAUAUAUGUAUAGUACUUUAUUAGAUGAAUUUUAAAUACUUUAUUUAUUUUAUUUUAUUUUUAAAUAAGAUGACAAAAAACAAAGA
Chenopodium quinoa (quinoa) is the source of this 3213-nucleotide long non-coding RNA. RefSeq lists it as uncharacterized. The record is from RefSeq and is a predicted model, not a curated record. The transcript has 7 exons. Lineage: Eukaryota; Viridiplantae; Streptophyta; Magnoliopsida; Caryophyllales; Amaranthaceae.